GACGAACGCUGGCGGCGUGCCUAAUACAUGCAAGUAGAACGCUGAAGGAGGAGCUUGCUUCUCUGGAUGAGUUGCGAACGGGUGAGUAACGCGUAGGUAACCUGCCUUGUAGCGGGGGAUAACUAUUGGAAACGAUAGCUAAUACCGCAUAAGAGUAGAUGUCGCAUGACAUUUGCUUAAAAGGUGCAAUUGCAUCACUACCAGAUGGACCUGCGUUGUAUUAGCUAGUUGGUGAGGUAACGGCUCACCAAGGCAACGAUACAUAGCCGACCUGAGAGGGUGAUCGGCCACACUGGGACUGAGACACGGCCCAGACUCCUACGGGAGGCAGCAGUAGGGAAUCUUCGGCAAUGGACGGAAGUCUGACCGAGCAACGCCGCGUGAGUGAAGAAGGUUUUCGGAUCGUAAAGCUCUGUUGUAAGAGAAGAACGAGUGUGAGAGUGGAAAGUUCACACUGUGACGGUAUCUUACCAGAAAGGGACGGCUAACUACGUG
This 495-nucleotide ribosomal RNA is filed under the name uncultured bacterium. RNAcentral's name for it is "partial 16S ribosomal RNA". It matches the Rfam family "Bacterial small subunit ribosomal RNA", at positions 28 to 507 of the family's 1533-position model. The record is from RNAcentral.